Molecule: long non-coding RNA, 3398 nt
Organism: Thunnus maccoyii (southern bluefin tuna)
Lineage: Eukaryota; Metazoa; Chordata; Actinopteri; Scombriformes; Scombridae
Exons: 2
Source: RefSeq, a predicted model, not a curated record
UAUGUACUGUAUUCCUAUUCUCAUUAAGCUGUCACAGUGUACAGGAACUCCUCAGUUGCAUUCAGACUGAAAACAGCCCUGUGUAAAACAAUACUAGGGGAUGUGUUGUUGUGGGCAUGCUGAAAGUGCCAGUGAGACAAUGAAAUAUGGUCCAGCCAGUUCGGUUAGAGUAACAGAUUACUGUGUUUAAAGGCUGAUCAGAAAAACACUGCACAGCGGUUUGUAAUAUUCAUAGACUGGAUUUUACAACUCUAGAAAAUGAUCACGGAACCCUGUUUACCAGUGCGCACAUGUGGAACGCGUCUGUGUCUGCGGACCUCCAAAAAAAAAGUAUGAAUGGAACUGCAUGCACGUCCGCGGUUUGUGUGCAAGUCCGCAGCUAUCCACGGACGCGGAACGCAAAAAGUAUGAAAAGGCCUUUAGUGAUCCGGUGCGUCCAGAUGCAUCCUUGCCGGAGGUGGUCUGUUUCCAGCAUUAGGGAACCCAGAAACCUGUAUUGAAGGUCAGAGCAUGAGACCUUCAAUCAAACGCAUGGGUCUACUAGAGGACAGUUGAAUUGCUCAAGGACAUUUUCUGUAGAUGAUUGCAAACAAAGGUCUAUGUCGUUGGUCCUCCCGUUGAAACUGGUGUCUCUAACUACCAGGCCACCCUGGUAAAUGUGUGUGUGUGGCCAUCCUGAGGAAUGUGGAGUAUUUGUCUGCCCAAACGUCGUUUGUCUGCUGAGGCUUCUUGUAUGUUUGCAGUGUAUUUGUGUACACAUGCAAAUCUCUUGGUCAUUUAUGCAGGGCUCACUGUCCGUCUCUUAAUGAAGCUCUCAUGUGUCCCAUUACUGGCUGGCAGACAGCGUAACUGGGGACAUAAAGCUGCCAGUUGUUUUUCAGUUAGAUAAGUAUACGUCGUACAUCUGUGGCAAAGAUAUGUCACUGUGACUAAUUCUUUUAUACUACAAUGAAGGAGUUUAGAGAGGAGGAAAUCCACUUGAGGAAAGGACGAUGGUUGGAAAAAACACAUCUGUGCACUCCAACUGACUUUAAUUUAAACUCUGUUUUACAUGAUAUCACAUUCAUCCAGAGACUAUGCAAAAAUUUGUUUUGAGAUUUUGAUUUGACAGCAGAACAUCUAUAUUUGCACAAAAAGCUUUUGUUGAGGCUCCAGGCCUGUGAAAUGUCCACUACAAUUGAAGUUUUCUGCAUUUCAGUGUGCAGUAUGCAUUUACUUACUGUCUGUAUGUGUAGGUAUGUAGGGCCCCAGAGAAACCUGAUGGGAUAUUAGGUCAACAAAGCCAGUAGAAAAAGAAAUGUGUUAUGAAAUCUCUAACCUCUCUGGCUUUGAGUACAACAUCCCGUCAGAAUUUAUGUUCUUGCUUCGCAACACGGAUGCUGCGGUGGGGAGUUGGCUGUUCUGGGUCUCAAACCCAGCUGGACAUCUGCAUUACAUUUUUCUUUCCUCUGCUCGGCUGACUGGUGGCCUCUGAAAACAGCGUGCAGCAUCAUCACCAUCAUCAGGGACGGAAGAGGAGGAGGAGAUGCCUCGGAAGGAAGUAUAUGAAUUAGGGGUUCCCUUGCCAUAUUUCAAAGUCUCUUACACACAGGUUUUUUAAAUUUAUACAGAAAAUGUUUUCUGCAGGCCUUAUGACCCAAACAAAUCUCAUAUGCUGUUGAGCAACAUUAUUUACAUCUGUUAGUAUCUCAACUGCAAGAGAUGAUUUUGUUGAACAAAAUACAAGCAUAUAGGCAGUUCCCUGUUCAAAACUCUCCCCACAUGAAUUUUGCAGCAGGGCCACUGAGCAGAACUAAUUUCAAAAGGACAUAACUGCUGGACAACUUAUCUGAAACAGCAAGAGCAAAUGUCAUCAAACCUUCAGACUCUGUGUCUCCAGUCUUUGACGAAUACUCAACAUCAGCAAAUCUAAUAUUUUCUCAUGUUGUAUAAACCUGCAUCUGAACUCUAUAAAAGAAAACAACUGCGACAAGUUUCUUCUAAAUUGAAUUGUUUGGUGAAAUAGAAUUGAAUUAUGAAAAAAAUAUCGGGAAAUGUCAGAAGUCAGCAUGGGGUUAAGAACCUCAUCAUGCGUUUUUAUGGUAUGUUACUGAUUACAAGCUCUGUAACAACCAUAGUAGUAGCUAUUGUCCCAUGUUAUAGGAGUAACUGAUUCAGAAAUGUUGCAGUUAACAACAUAUUAAUCACUAAUUAUACAGAAUUUAACACAUAAAAGAGCAGCGAAAGUGGCUGAUUCAGUAUAACCAUAUUCUCUGUUUCAGUGUUGACUCUCAAUGUUGAUUGGAUUGAUAACGGCAACAGGAAGAGCAAUGAGUGUUGUCGGUUAAUUAGAGGAAAUGAGAGUUGUAUCAAUGAGCUGUACUGAUGAGGAUUUGGGGUCAGCGGGUGACACAUGCGGGGCCGUGCCAACAUCAUGAUCCGGGCCCUCCUUAGUCAACUCAAAUCUGAAGGGGAGGCUUCCUGUACACUCUGUGGGGAUAACAAGCAGCCCAUUGUGUGCGUCUGAGUGCGUGAUUGUGUGUGUGUGUCUUUGUGAUGGUGGAAGUGGAGGGUCGAGGACAACCCUGAUGAGGAGACUGUGACCAGGUGUCAUGUGAUGGGUGGAAGCGAACACAAUGGCCACUUGAAGAAGAAAGUAAACAACAUUAACCCCUGCUGGUAUCUUCUUGUGUAUCCAGCCGCUGCAGUGACCCCUCACCCACCCACAGAGAGUCACACAUCCCUACAGGAGCUUUCUACAGCCAUGUAAUGACACAACGCUUCAGGCUUUCAGUGUUUACGUUUCUUUUAAAUCCUGUCGAGCAUGUAGGACUUCACCCUGUCUCCCCAAAAAGCAGGAUUGCCUAUAUAUCUAUAAUCUAAAUAAAUCUAAAUAAAUAGUGUACAUACAUUGGUCUAACAACUGUUUUCCAUUUGCUUUAACCCGUUAACAUCCAGUUGUCUUUGAUUUCCCCAUUAAAUAGAUUUAAGAUAUGAAAAAUGGUCAUAUUUCAAACUAUCUGACAGAAUCACAUACGUAGUUUAUUGGCCUGUUCCAGCUCUUCAUUGGAGUUUUAUGAUGUUUAGAGAGAGAGAAUAUAUUCAAACCCUAGCCUCCAUAUUUUUAUGGCUGCAUCAUUCCAUCAAAUGGAAAUUUUCCAGAUGUCUUGUGCAUCAUUUUAUACACAUUUCACCCCAAAUCAGUCUGACAUACGCAGUAUGUUUAUCUCUGGAAACUUUGGGAUCUGAAUUUAAAGUUUUGUGGGUUUGAACAAUGGUUGGCAGUAUAGCAUGAGUUUGUGUUAACCGAGUCAUCUUACAUGAGGCUCAGUGCAAGAUAAGCAUAGCAUAAUUUACAAAAAUGUCUAUUUACUAAAACUGUUAAAGAAUAUAGAAAUAAAACCUUUUACAAUCAUUAA